UAUAAACGUUUUUCGUUCAAUUAAAUACGGUUACCAUACAUAUCUAUCAGUUCUACUAAAUUAAUUGCUCAGCAGUUCGUGACCCCACAGCGGCGAAAGAGCGAAAGAAAUCGCAAGUGUGUGUGCAGGCCUACAAAUUUCGGAAGCAGGGGGCAGACUGAGAUUACAAUCAACGCACGCUUUGUUACGCAUUCCCUUGCACCGCUUUUAUUGUUGGCCGUCGAUUGUGGUGUCUGUUUAUGUGCUAGAGUGGGCCGGGAGAUAGGCCAAUUCACGUUUUGCUGGUUUCGGUCGGAGUUGAAAAUCUUUGACGCUAGGCUGUAUCCAUGCUGCAGCGCCGAACGUAAGGCGCGAGACGACGCAAAGAAGGAAAGUGAAAGAUCCUCCAUCAUCCACACAACAAACACAUUCAAUAAGACAGAAUGUUACGCAAUACGCCUUUCGCCGGCACGCCCACUUACAAAUUACUACUAGGCUUUGGCCUCUGCUCGCUGGGCAGCGCCAUGCUCUACGCCUACUUCAAGUCCCGCAAUGACGACAAGGAUGAAACGGGCACGAAGAAGCAAACAGAAGAUGGACAAGAACAAAUCCAGCAACAGAAACCACAGCAAAAGGAAAUCUGUCUCAAAAUCGUUGUGGACAAUGACCACGUACCGUUGAUAAUUGGACGCGGCGGCGCCAACAUUAAACUAAUUGAAGAAAAGACCGGGGCAAAGAUAAGAUUACGCGAUAAGGACAACUCCCACAAGUUCUGCGACAUAAACGGCUUGCCCGAUGCGGUUAAGGCGGCUCGUGUUAUGCUCAUCAAGGAGAUUGAGCGUGCACCCAUUGUCAAGAUGGAGCUGCAGGUGCCACAGCGGUUGGCCAACAGGAUCAGUGGACGUGGAGGCGAGAUAAUACAAGACAUUAGCCGAGCAUCAUUGGCUAAGCUCAGCAUCGAUCUAAAUGGACGCAAUGGCAAGGCCAAGAUCAGCAUUGUUGGCAACCAGAAGCAGGUGAACAUUGCCCGCAAGCUACUGGACGACCAGAUCGAGGAGGAUGAGCAGCUGCGACUGGCUGUCGAUGAGGUGGAACAGCAUCGCGAACCACGACGUUCGCCCAGCUACAGUCUCACCUCCAGCGUGUACUCUUCACAGACAUCCCUCAGCUCCCAGCCGCCGCGCGACAAGCUAAUGGCCUCUCGUGGAGAUGAGAAGCCCAUGGAGGUGUAUGUCUCGGCAGUUGCAUCGCCCACAAAGUUUUGGGUGCAGCUGGUGGGCCCGCAGUCCAAGAAGCUGGACGACAUGGUCAAGGAGAUGACCACCUACUACAGCAAUGCCGAGAAUCGCGCCAAGCACCAACUAACCACACCCUACAUUGGCCAGAUCGUGGCCGCCGUCUUUAAGUUCGAUGAGAAAUGGUAUCGCGCCGAGAUCGUGGACAUUAUGCCCAAUCAGUAUAAUCCCAAUGAGCAAGUCAUCGAUCUGUACUUUGUGGACUACGGUGACAGUGAAUACAUCUCUCCAGCAGAUAUUUGCGAGCUACGCACCGAUUUCCUAACCCUAAGGUUCCAGGCAGUUAAGUGUUUCUUGGCUAACGUGAAAUCAACUAUUCCAGAUGAACCUAACACUUGGCAGAAGGCAUCUAUAUCCAAGUUCGAGGAAUUCACAGAGGUUGCCCAUUGGCGCAAGCUGAUCGCACGGGUAGUUACUUACAAGGAGCGUCCGAAGGUGACGAGCGCCGCCAAUGCGUCCGCACGAGAUGGUACACCGCUGCCCGGCGUGGAACUGUUCGACCCCACCGAGGGGGCUGAGGUGAACAUUGGCGACAUGUUGAUAAUGCAGGGGUAUGCCCUGCCACUGGAUGAUGCAUAUCCGGUGAGAUCGCGCUCCACGUCUCCAUCGACUCAGAGUGAUUCCACCAUCGAGGAGCUGUGCUCCACAAAUACGCCCCGAACGCCGCUCACCCCAAUGUCGCCCAUGUCACUGUCAAUCACAAACGAUGUGGACAGUGUAGAGGAUGCACACUUUGCCAAUCAGCUGCAGCACUUGGGGCAGAAGCUGAACGGCAAUGACUUGACCCAUAUCAAUCCAGUUCAACUAACCACAGACGACAUAAAAAACAGAAAUGGAGAAGCCAUCAAGAGCACACACAGCGAUGUGGCUCGCUAAUGCAGAUUGGCACUUCUUAAUUCUCAAAAUUAGUCUAAGCUAAGCUCUCGCCUUAUGAUAAUUGUGGGUAGUCAUUGUAAAAAGGCAGCUCACUACCUGAUAUGUAUAUAAACCUAAAGAAAUUUAAAAGAAAAGGAGAAAAAAAAGGAAAACAAUACAAAACAAUUGUUUAGACUAUAAGUAAUUAAGAAAUGCCAUGUUACUUAGGCUGAAAUCAGAUGUAUCAGAUGUAAGUGGCUAAAUAAUUUUGUAAUUUACAUAAAUUGUACUGGAUUAUUGCAUUAUGCCAGAUAUCAGAGGCACGUCAGAGUCCAGCUUUAGCGUUAAAAUUCAAAAAUUGUACAUCAAGCCCAAAAUACAAUUCAAAAAACACUGUUGUACUUAA
RNAcentral lists this unclassified non-coding RNA (2535 nucleotides) under Drosophila mojavensis. RNAcentral's name for it is "GI21571". Lineage: Eukaryota; Metazoa; Arthropoda; Insecta; Diptera; Drosophilidae. The record is from RNAcentral.